GCGCCUAUAGCUCAGUUGGUAGAGCAGCUGACUCUUAAUCAGCGGGUCCGGGGUUCGAGCCCCUGUGGGCGCACCA
This 76-nucleotide transfer RNA is filed under the name Gemmatimonadota bacterium. RNAcentral's name for it is "Gemmatimonadetes bacterium tRNA-Lys". It matches the Rfam family "tRNA". Rfam says of the family: Transfer RNA (tRNA) molecules are approximately 80 nucleotides in length. Their secondary structure includes four short double-helical elements and three loops (D, anti-codon, and T loops). Lineage: Bacteria; Pseudomonadati; Gemmatimonadota. The record is from RNAcentral. RNAcentral also lists the same sequence under 2 other names.